GACGAACGCUGGCGGCGUGCUUAACACAUGCAAGUCGAACGGUGAACGAGGGAGCUUGCUCCCUCCGGUUCAGUGGCGAACGGGUGAGUAACACGUGAUCAAUCUGCCCCGAACUCUGGGAUAAGCGUUGGAAACGACGUCUAAUACCGGAUACGACGCGGGAGUUCAUCCUCUCCGCGUGGAAAGAACUUCGGUUCGGGAUGAGCUCGCGGCCUAUCAGCUUGUUGGUGCGGUAACGGCUCACCAAGGCGACGACGGGUAGCCGGCGUGAGAGGGGGACCGGCCACAAGGGGAGUGAGAAACGGCCAAGACGCCUACGGGGGGAAGCAGUGGGGAAUAUUGCACAAGGGGCGCAAGCCGGAUGCAGCAACGCGGCGGGGGGGACGACGGAGUUCGGGGUGUAAAACUCUUUUAGCAGGGAGGAAGAGAAAGUGAGGGCACGGGCAGAAAAAGCACCGGCUAACCAUG
RNAcentral lists this ribosomal RNA (468 nucleotides) under uncultured bacterium. RNAcentral describes it as "partial 16S ribosomal RNA". It matches the Rfam family "Bacterial small subunit ribosomal RNA", at positions 28 to 505 of the family's 1533-position model. The record is from RNAcentral.